AUUGAACGCUGGCGGCAUGCCUUACACAUGCAAGUCGAACGGCAGCACGGGAGCAAUCCUGGUGGCGAGUGGCGAACGGGUGAGUAAUGUAUCGGAACGUACCUUUCAGUGGGGGAUAACGUAGCGAAAGUUACGCUAAUACCGCAUAUUCUGUGAGCAGGAAAGCAGGGGAUCGCAAGACCUUGCGCUGAUUGAGCGGCCGAUAUCAGAUUAGCUAGUUGGUGAGGUAAAGGCUCACCAAGGCGACGAUCUGUAGCGGGUCUGAGAGGAUGAUCCGCCACACUGGAACUGAGACACGGUCCAGACUCCUACGGGAGGCAGCAGUGGGGAAUUUUGGACAAUGGGGGCAACCCUGAUCCAGCCAUGCCGCGUGAGCGAAGAAGGUUUUCGGAUCGUAAAGCUCUGUCCUCUGGGAAGAAAAAAUGACGGUACCAGAGGAGGAAGCCCCGGCUAACUACGUGCCAGCAGCCGCGGUAAUGAGU
This 482-nucleotide ribosomal RNA is filed under the name uncultured bacterium. RNAcentral describes it as "bacterial SSU rRNA". It matches the Rfam family "Bacterial small subunit ribosomal RNA", at positions 30 to 528 of the family's 1533-position model. The record is from RNAcentral.